GAGGGAAAAGCAGGCUCCUUGCAGGGAGCCCGACGCGGGACUCGAUCCCAGGUCUCCAGGAUCACACCCUGGGCUGCAGGCGGCGCUAAACCGCUGCGCCACCAGGACUGCCCUAUUAUAUCCUAUCUUUUGCUUACCAUGCAUUUAAUUUUCUCUUAUUAAUUUCUUAAGGUAGAAGCUGAGGUCAUUCAUGACGCUACUUUUUUUUUUUUUUUUCUAAAAUAGACAUUUAGUGUUAUAAAAUUUCCUUUAAGUUCUGUUUUAGGUAAAGCCCACAAAUUUUUAUAUAUUGUAUUUUUAUUUUCAUCCAGUUCAAAAAUACUUCCCGAAUUUCUUCUUAUUUUUUUUUUCUUAAGGCCAUGGGUUAUUUAGAAGUGUAUUUAGUUUUCAAAUUUGAGAUUUUCCAGGCAUCUUUUAUUACUGAUUUCUAAGUUAAUUUCAUUAUAAUUGUAGAAGAUAUUGUGUGACUUUAAUUAUUUUAAAUGUAUUGAAAAUACAAGUUCGGGCCAGAAUAUGGUCUCUCUUGCUAACUUUUUCAAGUGUACUUGAAGACGAUGUAUAUUCUGCUCCAGUUGGGUGGAGUAGUCUACAAAUGUUAAUUAGGCCAAACAAAUUGGUUUUUAGUGUUGUUGAAGUCAUCUAUAAACUAACUGAUUUUCUGUUGACUUGCCCUAUUUGUUAUAAGUAUUCUAGUAUCAAAUUAUGAUAAUGAUUUAUUGAUUUCUACUCAUAUUUCUGACAGAUUCUGCUUCAUAUAUUUUGAAACUCUAUUAUUAGAUGCAUAAUAGUUAACAAUUGUUAUUUCCACUUUGUGAGUUGCCACCUGAAAUCUACUUUGUCUAAUAUAUCUACUGCAGCUGUUUUUCUUAGUGGUAGCAUGACAAGCUUUUCUCUUUUUUUACUUUUAAUUUAUUUGUAUUUUUAUAUUUAAUGUAUGUUACUUGUAUUUGAUAUACAGUUUUUAUCCAGCUUCACAAUCUCUUUUAAUUGGGGUGUUCAGUCCAUUUAUAUUUAGUGAGAUUAUCAAAGUUGGUUUUAAAUCUACCAUUUUUUAAAAAAUUAUUUGUUCCAUAUAUUGCUUGUAGCCUUGCUCCUCUUACUAUGGCUUCCUUUGGAUUAACUAAAUAUUUUUAAUUACUCUUUAAAAAAAUUUUUUUUAAAGAUUUUAUUUAUUUACUCAUGAGAGACACAGAGAGAGAGAGGCAGAGACAUAGGCAGAGGGAGAAGCAGGCUCCAUGCUGGGAGCCGAACGUGGGACUCCCAG
This 1264-nucleotide long non-coding RNA is filed under the name Canis lupus familiaris (dog). RNAcentral describes it as "lncRNA (ENSCAFG00845012666.1)". The record is from RNAcentral. Lineage: Eukaryota; Metazoa; Chordata; Mammalia; Carnivora; Canidae.